CCUCCCACCGGUCUCACUUACCUGACCAUAUGUGUCGACCCAGUUCUGAUUUGAGGUGGCUAACAAUUCGAGCUAACCCAUACCACUAGGUUAGUCAUAAUUGUUAUGACUAUGUCAAGUCAAGUUUAAUGAGAUCUAAAUCAAAUCUUCCUAAGAAAAUAUUAAGUCUAAGGUCUUCCACCAUUGUGGAUGUGCGGGCCCUUUCCGGGGUUGAUUAUUCUCGACUGGUUA
RNAcentral lists this long non-coding RNA (231 nucleotides) under Elaeis guineensis (African oil palm). RNAcentral's name for it is "long non-coding RNA (EGUI_LNC063215)". The record is from RNAcentral. Lineage: Eukaryota; Viridiplantae; Streptophyta; Magnoliopsida; Arecales; Arecaceae.